Molecule: long non-coding RNA, 357 nt
Organism: Strongylocentrotus purpuratus (purple sea urchin)
Lineage: Eukaryota; Metazoa; Echinodermata; Echinoidea; Camarodonta; Strongylocentrotidae
Exons: 2
Source: RefSeq, a predicted model, not a curated record
UCUUUGAACAACGGACCAGCGGCGGAAGAACUAGCCCAUUACGAAGAGUGUCUUUUUGUCCGCUCCAGGAGUAGAAGAACCUUUAGAUUGGAUAGUGAUGUCUUCAUCAAGUAUUUAUCGAGGGAGGGAUGAAUCGGUUGUUUUUUCCAAGAGAUCAUGAAGAAGAGCACUGAUAAACAAGUUGAUUCGUUCUGAGGGAGCGGAAAAUGAAAAGGUAAGAUUGAGAAAAAGGAGGAGACAGAAUCAGAGGUAGUGGAUAAAACCCUGCAUACAAGUAGGAGUAGAGGGUAUUAAGAAGUAUCUCUAAAUGGCUAAGAGAAACUGCAGAAACAGAAGAAGAAAAAGAAGAAAAAGAAG